UGGUGAUUUUCACUUACAUAGAGUACUAAUUUGAUUAAGGAAAAAUCAUGUUCAUUCAUAAUUUUCAUUUUAAAAGUGUAUUCAUUCGUUCUGCAAAUCCAUACUGUCAUGCCUAUUCCCCAAUAUCGUCAACGCGGAUAGUUCGUUAGUCGAAAAUACUGAAUAAUUAAACAAACCAAAUGGCAUCACUGGUGGUUCUUUUUUCCACUCCGCUAAACUGUCAUCUCAAACAAAAACAAAUGGAUCAUACAACUGCUAUGAAUACAUUCGACUUAAUCAAUCGGCGAGUGAGAAAGAUGAUUUCCCUCAUCACCACAUUGCUUAUUUCCACUUCUGUCACACCAGCCAACAGCAUCAGCUUUCCCGCAGCAGUAUCCUUUAAGUCCAGGGUGCUAUUCCGGGGAACAGCAUCAACAGCAACAGCAGCAGGACCUGGUCAUCGACAGUAUUUCGAGCAAUUUUCCCCAUCGGAGAUCCCGUGCUUCACGCACAUUGAAGAAUCCUCCUCAGCCACAUAUCUGUGUCAUCAAGGGCAAGGAGGUAUUCAUCAAUGUACUCAGUCGGAUUUGAAUCGUCAAUCCAGACAACCCGGAUGCACCGAUUCCAUUAUAUACCUUAUGUUUAUUAUACAUGGUUUUUUAUUAUUAUGUUUUCAAUAAAAUGAUUAAAAUCGA
Toxorhynchites rutilus septentrionalis is the source of this 674-nucleotide long non-coding RNA. RefSeq lists it as uncharacterized. NCBI's taxonomy places the organism in Eukaryota, Metazoa, Arthropoda, Insecta, Diptera, Culicidae. The record is from RefSeq and is a predicted model, not a curated record. The transcript has 2 exons.